This is a non-coding RNA of Xyrichtys novacula (pearly razorfish), 7920 nucleotides long. The record is from the annotation of a GenBank genome assembly. NCBI's taxonomy places the organism in Eukaryota, Metazoa, Chordata, Actinopteri, Labriformes, Labridae.
GAAAGCGCAGAGAGGUGAGAUUGGCUUCGCAUGGAGCAAUUUUCUUUGGGAUCUCUGCAAUUAUGCAUCUGAAACCAAGGUAAAAGAAAUAUUUGUAUAUGUUAAAAGAGCGGCAUGUGGUUGCAGGAUCAAUUCAGAGACUAAUAAGGAGGUAGUUACGAUCACAGGAAAAUCCAACAUCCAACUUGACUGAGCACAGCAUGCUCCCAGUCUUCUCCGUCUCAAACAGCAGAAUGUACUCGCAGGGUUUAACCAAGAGGAGAGAGAAAAGGUUAAUGACGCUCAGUGGGAAAUCAAAGAUCACAGAUAGUUUCACAGGAAAUGGAAUAGAGAGGUACAGGGGUGGAGAAGGAUGGUGAAUAUGAGAGGGAACAGAUGAUGACAUCCUGAGAGAAAAAUACAGCAAGAGAGAGACAGUCCUAGAAAUAAAGAUGACAGACAAACAGAGCUCUGAAAUGCAGGGUGUUGAUUAUCUCCUGUUCACAUUAGAGCCCACACAGACCAUUAGAUGCGAGCCCAGCUUGAAUCAAUUUAAAGAUGGUCUAUUCAGGAAAAUCUUGAGUGGCAUGCACAGAGCACUCAGCCUCUUACAACACAAAACAUCUCAGCGGCAAAUAGAAGUGAGGAUGUGCGAGGGUGUCUUGUUGGGAUGCAUGGACAGGUGCGAAAAAAGGCAGAAUUUAGGUCAGCAAGUAUUAUGAAGGGUGUGGUGUUGUUUUGGACAAUGUUAGAGAGGGAAAGGAGGGAAAGAGAGAUAUCUGGAACAAGGGAGGGUUGGAGGAGGAGUGGAGCGAGGCUGGCACUAAUGACGGGUGUGCCCAGGGCCACACAAGUACAGCUGUCUCCCCUCCCAACUUCAGCAAUGUCAGAUCGGCAUAAUAAAAGCCAGUGUGUUAGUAUGUGCUCGCAGGGAACAGCUGGGUGGCUUGGCCAAAAAGGAGAGAAAAAAAAGGGAAACGAGGAAGAGGAGAAUUGUGCAUCGCUGAAUCCUAUCAGCUCUGCCUUCAGCUGGAAGAGUUUCUUGAACCAAUACAAGAGAUGCUUAAGGAGAGGAUCGUUUUGAAAGCAGCUAAAAGAACAAUAUCUUCGACUCAAUUAGCUCAUUGGCCUGGAGUGAGGGGAAAGGUGGGACUGACUACCUGUGGCCCUAGAGGGGAGGUGGUCUGUCAUAGACUGUCACAGUAAAACUAAAACUUUUUGAUGAAAUAAAAAGAUACUCAAAAUUUUAUGAGGAGAAUGAGUUCAUAAGUUUAUGGAUAAACGGCGCCCCUCUUGUAUACAUGGGUAUCUACUGCACUCCAAAGAUAUUCACGCAGUAAGACAGUACUGUUUAAGUGUUAUUACCCACUGUUGCUGCAAGAUGGAGUGUGCUGCUUGUGAAUCUUUCUGCAGGACAUAAACAGUAUCGCUACACACUGUGCUGUAAUAUGAAGCCAUGCUAUCAACAUGCUCUUCUGCUUUUGUGAAUAUUUGCAAUAUUGAACCCAAAUUCUUUUAGAGAUGUACCCCUACCAAAUGGUGGGGAAUGGAUGGGGAUCAAUUUUCUCCUCUAUGUUUACACUUCUACCAGACUGAAACUCGGCUUAAUGCUCUGCACAUGCAUGAGAGUUUGCACACUGGGCUUCAUCUCAAAAGUUGAACAGCAUAAAGGAGUUGCUGGGAAACACUAAACCAAACAUAGACCGAUAAAGAAGGGACAUGGAAGGAAAAACUGUCUAAGGAACAGAGCUUUUAAAAUGAAAAUGUUUUCAUCUUACAACAUAAAUCAAGUAAGCCACUAGUUAAUGUGCUUAGUUAAUUGUAUUCGAACGUAACAGGUAGUGAUGAAAGACAACAUGUCGCAGGGCUCUCAAGUCUCACGCAUUCAGCGUGAGACACACGCAUUCCCACCUGUUCACACGCUCACACGCCGCACAUUGUAUUUCUCACGCAUUUAAAUGAACAUGGUGAUGUCCACCAAGUUGCACCUCUUCAACUAUGGAACAGGGGGAAAUCAACGGAGUUUCUCCGAGAGUUCAGAAGCUGCGUGCCACGCGCAAGCCAAUCAAAUAAAGUAUAUCUACUGAACAGCCAAUCAAAAAGCAGCAUUGCUGUAUCCGGGUAGAUUUUGAUAUCUUGCGGUUUGACUACAGAAGAAGACAGACACUUGCUGAAAUAGAGCAGGUUUUUAUAAGGACGAGAUAGACCCGAUGAUUACAGUAAGUCAGUAACCUACACAUGCAGAGACCUCAACACCUCAUGGCAGAUAAACUCAUAUGAUAAACUAAAGCCCUAUGCUAUUGCUAUUAACAGCUGCAUUGAUGAAUUUAGCCUCUGUACAGCCAUUUCCCCUCCACAAAAGCAGCAUUUCUCAUAUAUUCUUUUUAAAGUUCUGAUACUCGUGACAGUGUAAUGCUGAUAUACCAAAGGAUUAAGUAUCUCCAUGUCUGUGAAACCUGUACUAAAGUACAAUUCAUCUAAAUGCUCCUCAGUGCUGAUUUUAACAACUCUCCUCCACAACAGGUAACUUGACUACUUUAUUCUUAAAGUCAUUAAUGACUUUAUUCUCCUAAAUAAUAACUUUAAUCUCAAAGAUUUAAAAAUGUUUUUUUCUUUCUUAAUGUGGCCCUCAUACUCCAUUGUAUUUAUUAGAUUAUUAUACUAAUAAUUAUCUUCAAUCACUGUCCAACCCCCCCCCCCCCCCAAGGAAAUCUCACUCUAAGCUUAGUUCAAAACUUGAGAGCCCUGAUGUCGCCACUUGCGGGCGGGCAUGCGUCUGUCAGCUGCGUUUACAUGGGGGCAAGUAAUCGGAAUAAAUGCGCGAUCGGGAUAAAAAAAGCGUCAUGUAAACAUGUCGAUCGGAAGAUUCUGAUCCAAUUCGUCUCAUUCGGAAAGAAAUUGUAUUCCGAGCAAGAGGGGUCGUUUAUGCCGAUCGUUAUUGCGAAACGUGUCCAUGUAAACACUUAUUCUGAUCAUGACUCUCUUACCUCACUCUGUCUUCACUCCUCAGCCUUUGGUUUAUUUGUUGAGGCCAGUUCAGGAGCUUUCAUUAUCAACACUCUGGCAUAAAACACAACCGCAGGCGCCAUGUCUGCUCUUCCAGUAACAUUUUUUUCUAAUUUUUUAUUUUUUUCCUCUUCCGGUAAGAUAACAAGGCGUACAUACAGCGUAAUGAUGUCACAUCUGCACGCACAGUGCAACCUUUGACAGGACAGUAAAAUAAGUGAGCAAGGGCGCCAUCUAGUGACAAUAUUUAACAGGAGGGGAAAAUUCAUGAAUUACAUGGAGUGAGCCACUACCGCUUUGUUAGUUUGUUGACGGCACAGGCAUAUGUACAACUUGCUAUGCAGUUGUUCUGGUGAAAUUAGACAACUCUGCGCAUGUCCAAAUGCUUCUAAUCUGAAUUAAAUUUGGUGCAUGUAUAUGCACGUCAUGAUCGGAUUAUUGAUUUUGCGCCCAUAUAAACACUGGAUUCAUAUUAUCCGAUCCCUCAAAUUUUUAAUCGGAUCAAGAAACUUUGCACAUGUGAAUGUGGCUAAUGAUUGAUUCUUGCCCAGUGCUCAUACACUGGGACAAGGAGCUAUAACCAUAUCUUGACUUCACUGUGCAUGUUACCGUACUGUCUGGAAGUUUGGCAGCUCUUUAUUUGGCUGCCUUGGACUGAUGAUACUGUAAUACCGCCACCCCUGAAAUGAACUGUCCUUAGGAAGCAAUGUACUUCUCACAAGACAGCACAUCAGCUCAAUGAGUUACUUAUCGUGCUUUAGUGUCAUGAGGUCUUGUGGCACAAGAUCUCAUCACACCUUUGUUUAACUCAGCAAUGCAAUGCUACAAUUGUAAGUUUCUAAGGGAACAUUAAUAAGAUAAGAUAUGAUGAGAUAAAAUGAGACGAACUUUGUUAAUCCCGAGGGGAAAAUUUGAUGGAGACUAGUUCAGAACCAGCGAACAACUCUCCACAGCAGUGCAGUUUGUAGGUGCAGUAAAUGACUAUUUGUACUUUUAUGUUACACCUUAGUUGAUGUUUGACACUUCCACCUCUGGCAGUCUUCACUUGGCCAUAUCAAUCUGCUUUUAUCGAGUUUCCUGAGGUUGACGUCAGUUGUGUCCAGAGUGCAUUGAGUCACUCUUGUCACCACCUCGUCUUUGUGUUGGUGCCCUUAGUGGCCUUGUAUAAAGAGCCCUUAUUACAUGAUGUCAGAUGUACUUCUUCAACUUUACCUCACACCCAGAGUCCCUUAUUGCUGAUAUCAUACACUGAGGUCUUACAGGGCUUAACCCUGAACACCCAAACAUAAAAGUGCGCUUGAAAACUGUCUGGACUUUAUCUUUACAUAUUAUAUGCACUUUUAUUGGAUGGACCUACAUGUAGGAGGAUGUCUGCCUGUCUGACUCACUCCUUGUCUGUCUGACCACCCCCUCCUUCGAGCCUGCCAGCACCCUCUUUGUGUCUCCAGCCAUCUCUUCUUCCUCCUCUUCCGACUGUGUUUGUCUUAAUCAUUGCUGAGGUGAUGUGGGCCGGACAAAGACAGUGGAUAAUGUGAUUAGAAGAGGCUCAGGCGCAAAGUCUCCGCUCUGAUCGUUCCAGUCAUCAGGGACUUCUGUCACAUUUGUCAGGGAUUUGGCAUAAAAAAAAGGCCUCAACAAGAUCUUCUUGUUAUUUACGGAGUUUGAGCCUCACCUCACUUUUUCUUUGCCUUGUUUGUGUGCUUAAUGUGCACCAGUCAUGCCUGGAUUUUUGCAUGCAGGCGCAAUACCCAAUCCAGAAUUGUAUCAGUCAAAUAGUAUUUCACUGUUAAAGGCAUUUAAGUCUUACUUUGUUUAGCCUGUGAGGGGGUAGGUGUCUGCUGAGCAGCAAGACAAACAGGACUGCUUUUGCAAUUUCCAGAUUGGAUGUUUGCAGCUUAUGAUACAUUUCACAGACUGUAAGCUAAGGUUACUCAAUCCACAGGGGGUGCAAAAUAGAUAAACCAACCAGUUUUCCACAGGAGCUUUAAGAUGUGCUUUUUUCAACCAUAAAAUCAAACCAUUCCCCUUUUUGCCGGUGAGUGCCAUCAUCCUUGCUAGUUGUAGAUAUUUCUAUCACUGUAGGCCUAAAAUGCAAGUCAUAUGUUAUGUCUAAGCUGUGAUGCAGCUGUAGCUGCUCACUGCUAUAAUGCUCUACUACCAAUAUGUUGGCAAACAUAUACACUAUAUCAGAAGGUGAAGUGUAGCACGGUGCAGUUUGGUAGUACUUUGAUCCAGAAAGUGCAGAUGAAGUUUAAGUAGUCUUUGUUUGUUAUACUGACCAGAGCGAUGUGUAACCAGCAUGAACAUAUGAAUGUUGACCUGCGAGAAUGACCCGAGGCUGGUAGUGUUUGCUCUGCUAAUGUUAGCUGCGUUUAGCAAACCAAUAUGAAGUCAUAUUCCGGCAAACUCUGUAAUCCUGUGUGUCACUACUUAAAGGUAAAAAGGUUUCAAAAGUAUCCAUAUAUAUAAAAAUCUUGAGUGCACAACUGUGGUAUUUUUCCUGUUCUUUUUUCUCCAAUCAGUUCAUUUCACAGUGCCACUCAAAUACGCAAUGUCAAAGGACCAGCAGAGCUACUAUUGAGCAUCUCUGAUACAUCAAUUGAUUAUUUUUUUACAUUUAGCAGUUGAUUUAGUGGUAUUACUGGCUUGUCUGACCUGGUCCAUUUAGAGUGGGAGGGACCAAUGCAGACUACUUGGCCCCCUUUAAGACAAAAACCCCAUGCAAACCAUGGCGACUCAAAGAAUUCUGCCCCAAAGACAAGCUUAGCAUAGACAAACAAGCCAGCAGAUGCACCAUAAUGGCAGACAAAUUCAGUUCUCCAAAGACAAAGCAUGCUUAUGUCCAAAGGGUUUUGUCUCAAUGACACAAAACAUUACAAACUGUCUGCUAAAAUGCAAGCAACUUGUGUCCCCCAACGGAUGAAUGAAAUUGUCAGUUUAUAGGAGGCAGCUCUAGUACUUUCAUAUCUGUUCCUAAUCCAAAUGUAAAAGGACAAUGAGUGUGUUUCCCAGGCCUCCAGAGGCUGCGCACAUGAAUGAAGUAUUGGAUCAGGUAAGCUGGGAGAUUCAUCCCUCCAUAUACUGCAGCUGGCUCCUGGGAAUUGUGGGUUGUGUGUUUGCCACACUGCUGGGGGGUUUGAGGUGAGGAAGGGGAAGAGAGUCUUUCGUCAGGAAAAAAAUGAAGGGGGUUUAGACAUGACAAGCGUGUCAUUAAUCACAAGAUUCUCCAGGCAGGAUUGAUGGAUCUACCUGCGCUCAAUGGAAGGAACCAAAGGGAUGGACAGGGGUAGCCAUGGGAAUAGGAGAGAGAGCGAGUGUGUGUGUAUAUGUGUGUGUAUAUGUGUGUGUGUGUUUGCUUCUGUGUUACUUCUGUGGCUUCAUUAUUGCCCAAUUCCUUAUUCCCUCUGCCUUCCCUGGCUCUGGCCAUUUACAGUAAGCCCCUCUGGCAGUUACAUCCAUGACAGGUACAGAGAGAGAAACACACUCUGCAGGAAGCAAAUCUGUCACCGUGCUAACUAAAACAUGUCAGUGUGGUGGUGCGGUUGUAUCUCGCAUGCCAGUGCCAAACGGAGAGCUGAUUGAAGCCCAAGGCUGCUGUGGUGGAGAGUUUAUUUUGUAGCUUUGGUGGAGAAAAAGGCGAGGAAGAAGCAGACGUUGUAUUUGCAAAGUAUGGGGAAAGAUUGGGGGAGAAAUCAAGGCGCAGCUAAAACUACGAGAUGUGGGGAAAUGUGUUGGUGUAUGUGUGUGUUCCUGGCCUCAGGGGAGCUGCGUCCUCUCUCAGGGGCUAGACUGAUCCCACCUGAGUCUCUCCCCCACCCCUCCAGAUGUUCCCCUCCCUUCAUCACCCAGUAUCACCCUUGUCUCCAUCAUCUAAAUUCAGCGACUCCCAUCUCUGCCUCUCAAUUCUGAUGCUACGUGUGUUGUACAUUCCUGAUGUAUUUCUGCAGUUGUAUAACAUUUGCGUCUUUGCCUUUUUGAACCACAUUAUCGAUUCGAGUAGCAAAGUAAAAAAGUUGAGCAGUAGCAUGGAUUUUUUUGUGCUGUGUUUUACUGCAGCACAGUGUUUCUACUCCAGCUUUUAGACCGUGCCACAAGAGGAGCAGUAUGAAUUCCCAUAUAAGGCAGGAGGACCCUUUCUAACCUCUCUCUCCUCCUCCUCCUCCUCCUCUCUCAGUCUUCUACCCCUUUGCUCCUUUAUUGCAACAAGCUCAUACUGUCUUCCCUUUCUGGUGCGACCGUGGUCUUAUGCCAAGGCUUAGACAAAAACAUAGGUAUAUUUUUUUCUGUUUCAGUACUGAUGCUUGUCGUUUUCUGUUUUCUGUCAGUUAUUCACAGGAGAGACUUGGUGUGGAGCUGCCUCUUGUGUUGACACCUGCCAAGAUAUCUGCAUUCUUAGGUCGUAGUUUCUUCUGCAAACACUACGAUACAGUAAAUAUUAAACCAAAGCUACAAAUCAAGCCUCACAAUUCCAAUGGGAGAGAUCAGGAGAGAGCGGAAAGCUUGCAGAGUGGGAGGUAGAGAUGGAUUGAAAGAUGAAGACAGUGAAGACAGAGAGAGAAAAAAAAAACACAAACAGAGCUGAUAAGACCUUCGGCAGAGGAAGUGUCGUUCUCAGCCGAUCCCCCAGUGGAUUUCCCAGCAUCCCACUCUUCCCCUGCUGCAGGAUGUAACCUCGUGUGGGAAUACGUAAGGAAUGUGACCCCUUUUGUUUAGCAUGCGAUAGGCUCCUGCUUGGCGGUCAUUUGUGUGUCUUAUGUGUGACAGGCUCCAGGCUUGGCAGAGGCUGAUCAGAGAGACACUCAACAGUCCUUUCUCAGUAAGACCCUCCUAGGAAAACAAUGACUGCUGUUAUGGCUGCUAUCUCUCAAAGCCCCUCCCUGGCUGAUGGGGCUCCUGCUGGGCUCUCACUGUGGCUCAUUUUCAUAUACUGAAGAC